Molecule: ribosomal RNA, 425 nt
Filed under: uncultured bacterium
Lineage: Bacteria
Description: bacterial SSU rRNA
Rfam family: Bacterial small subunit ribosomal RNA
Source: RNAcentral
UUAUCCGGAUUUAUUGGGUUUAAAGGGUGCGUAGGCGGCAUGACAAGUCAGCGGUGAAAUGCCCGGGCUUAACCCGGGAGCUGCCGUUGAAACUGUCGAGCUAGCGUGCACAAGAGGUAGGCGGAAUGCGUGGUGUAGCGGUGAAAUGCAUAGAUAUCACGCAGAACCCCGAUUGCGAAGGCAGCCUACUAGGGUGCAACGGACGCUGAAGCACGAAAGCGUGGGUAUCGAACAGGAUUAGAUACCCUGGUAGUCCACGCAGUAAACGAUGAAUACUAACUGUUUGCGAUAUAAUGUAAGUGGUACAGCGAAAGCGUUAAGUAUUCCACCUGGGGAGUACGCCGGCAACGGUGAAACUCAAAGGAAUUGACGGGGGCCCGCACAAGCGGAGGAACAUGUGGUUUAAUUCGAUGAUACGCGAGGAA